GUUGCUGGUUCUUUCGGACGUAGCUCAUUCGUAAUACAUUAGCAUCUCAAUUUCGAACUUCGGAUUGACUCAGCGUAAUAGACUAUUCGUUGAGGACACCUCACGGUGGCCGAAUAAGAAGACAGUUAGAAGCUCUAAUCAGAUCUUAGUCGACUUUUAGAUUAGACCUCAGAUCAGGCAGGAUUACCCGCUGAACUUAA
Molecule: unclassified non-coding RNA, 200 nt
Filed under: soil metagenome
Description: partial contains internal transcribed spacer 2 and large subunit ribosomal RNA
Source: RNAcentral